GCCGGCUUAGCUCAUCCGGUAGAGCAACGGUUUUGUAAACCGUAGGUGGUCGGUUCGAGUCCGACAGCCGGCUCCA
RNAcentral lists this transfer RNA (76 nucleotides) under bacterium. RNAcentral's name for it is "tRNA-Thr". It matches the Rfam family "tRNA". Rfam says of the family: Transfer RNA (tRNA) molecules are approximately 80 nucleotides in length. RNAcentral also lists the same sequence under 3 other names. The record is from RNAcentral.